UACGUAGGGUGCGAGCGUUGUCCGGAUUUAUUGGGCGUAAAGAGCGUGUAGGCGGUUUGGUAGGUCCGUUGUGAAAACUGGAGGCUCAACCCUUCAGAGGUCGACCGAAACCAUCUGGCUAGAGUCCGGGAGAGGAGAGUGGAAUUCCUGGUGUAGCGGUGAAAUGCGCAGAUAUCAGGAAGAACACCCGUGGCGAAAGCGGCUCUCUGGAACGGUACUGACGCUGAGACGCGAAAGCGUGGGGAGCGAACAGG
RNAcentral lists this ribosomal RNA (254 nucleotides) under uncultured bacterium. Its description in RNAcentral is "partial 16S ribosomal RNA". It matches the Rfam family "Bacterial small subunit ribosomal RNA", at positions 524 to 776 of the family's 1533-position model. The record is from RNAcentral.